GACGUUACCUACAGAAGAAGCACCGGCUAACUCCGUGCCAGCAGCCGCGGUAAUACGGAGGGUGCGAGCGUUAAUCGGAAUUACUGGGCGUAAAGCGCAUGCAGGCGGCCUGUUAAGUCAGAUGUGAAAGCCCGGGGCUUAACCUCGGAAUUGCAUUUGAAACUGGCAGGCUAGAGUCUUGUAGAGGGGGGUAGGAAUUUCAGGUGUAGCGGUGAAAUAGCGUAGAGAUCUGAAGGAAUACCAGUGGCGAAGGCGGCCCCCUCGGACAAAGACUGACGCUCAGAUGCGAAAGCGUGGGGAGCAAACAGGAUUAGAUACCCUGGUAG
Molecule: ribosomal RNA, 326 nt
Filed under: uncultured bacterium
Lineage: Bacteria
Description: bacterial SSU rRNA
Rfam family: Bacterial small subunit ribosomal RNA
Source: RNAcentral